Pelobates cultripes (western spadefoot toad) is the source of this 375-nucleotide non-coding RNA. The record is from the annotation of a GenBank genome assembly. NCBI's taxonomy places the organism in Eukaryota, Metazoa, Chordata, Amphibia, Anura, Pelobatidae.
CUCAAUGCACCCCUUAAACACACUCAAAGCACCCCUUACAGACACACACUUCAUCCCUUACAUACACAGAAACACACCUUGCAGCCCUUACACAUACAAACACAGAUUCACACAAUGCAUUCCUUACACACAAAUCAGGACAUCCCCUACACACUCCAUCCCCUGUGAACAAACUCAUUGGUGGAAAAUGAAGGUGGACCCUGGGACCCAGACCUUGAGCUGUGUAAAGGGCCCCCAAAAAAUGGAGCUGCUUCUCGUUCUCCCAGAACAUUGAUUUGUGUGACCACAGUUACAAACAGCCUCCAGAGAUCCUGUUAUACACCAGACCAGUGGAGCCAGACUGCAGCUAGAGCCCAUCAUCAUCCUCAUCUGCUU